CCUGGCAUUUGAGCCCGUGACCCGCAAACCCGCCCGAAAUCCGCACGGUAAAAGCCCGCACGAACCCGCCCAUUUAUUAAAUUCGUGCUUAGAAAGCCCGCACGCAAAAAGCCCGCAAAUUAACGGGCCUUGCGUGCUAAGCCCACUGGAACCCAUUGGAACCCGUUUACUUCCAAACAAACCCACUCCGACCCUUUCGACUCAGCAACUCUCUCUCUGUGGAACGCAACCCUGAAUCUGAGCAGUGAGCACAGCAGCCUCCCAUUCAUUUCCGUCACCCAAAUCCCAACUCUCUCUCUCUCUCAUCUCUCUCUGCGCGCCCAAUUUCUCAAGAUUUCUGGGUUUCUGAUCUAAUCAUGUCCAGUUUCAAAGCUUCUGCAAUUUGAAUUUUGUUGCUGCAUGUUUAGUUAAUUGAACACCCAUGCCAGUUGACAAAGAGAUGGAAUUUGAAUAUGGUUGUACUGUUGUAGCAUGUUUUUGUUGUUUAUAUGAAGAACUAGAAACUGAAGGAUCCAGAUGAGUUUAUGAGAUUGGUUGAAGUUUUUGUGCUGAGUUUCCUUGCCGUGAUGGAUGAUCUGCAUAGAGUGUGGUUUCUGCUUAUUUUUAGUUGUUCGCUACUUUAUUUUCUGUUCAGGGUACCGUAGAAGCAUGAAUUGUGCUAUAGAAGGUCAUAGGAAACGAGAAGGGAGAGGGAAUUCAUGAUUAUAUGUGGUGAAAUCGAAAUUGAUCGUGAGGUUAUUGCUGGAACUGAGAUAGUAACAUAAUGAGUCUGUUAUGACACACAAAUUCGUCAUGUAUUGUUUAAAGGGGGAAGUAAUUUUAAGAACUACAUGUGGUUGCUUUAGUGCUUAUUCACUGUACAGAAUGCAACAUAAUAGCUUCCUUUAGCAUGGUAUAUAUUUGGUUGAUGUGGAAUUUUAUGUUGA
Molecule: long non-coding RNA, 926 nt
Organism: Rosa rugosa (rugosa rose)
Lineage: Eukaryota; Viridiplantae; Streptophyta; Magnoliopsida; Rosales; Rosaceae
Exons: 2
Source: RefSeq, a predicted model, not a curated record